UCCUACGGGAGGCAGCAGUGGGGAAUAUUGCACAAUGGGCGCAAGCCUGAUGCAGCCAUMCCGCGUGUGUGAAGAAGGCUUUCGGGUUGUAAAGCACUUUCAGCGAGGAGGAAAGGUUGUAAAUUAAUACUUUGCAGCUGUGACGUUAGUCGCAGAAGAAGCACCGGCUAACUCCGUGCCAGCAGCCGCGGUAAUACGGAGGGUGCAAGCGUUAAUCGGAAUUACUGGGCGUAAAGCGCGCGUAGGUGGUUGUCUAAGCGAGAUGUGAAAGCCCCGGGCUCAACCUGGGAACUGCAUUUYGAAMUGGGCGACUAGAGUACGAKAGAGGAUAGUGGAAUUUCCAGUGKAGCGGUGAAAUGCGUAGAGAUUGGAAGGAACACCAGUGGCGAAGGCGACUGUCUGGCUCGAUACAGACACUGAGGUGSGAAAGCGUGGGUAGCAAACAGGAUUAGAUACCCUGGUAGUCCACSCCGUAAACGAUGUYUASUAGCCGUUGGGCUCCUUGAGAGCUUUGUGGCGCAGCUAACGCGAUAAG
RNAcentral lists this ribosomal RNA (535 nucleotides) under uncultured marine bacterium. RNAcentral describes it as "bacterial SSU rRNA". It matches the Rfam family "Bacterial small subunit ribosomal RNA", at positions 337 to 864 of the family's 1533-position model. The record is from RNAcentral.